AUACGGAGGGUGCAAGCGUUAAUCGGAAUUACUGGGCGUAAAGCGCGCGUAGGCGGCUGAUUAAGUCGGAUGUGAAAUCCCUAGGCUCAACCUAGGAACUGCAUCCGAUACUGGUCAGCUAGAGUUUUGGAGAGGUAAGUGGAAUUUCCGGUGUAGCGGUGAAAUGCAUAGAGAUCGGAAGGAACACCAGUGGCGAAGGCGACUUACUGGCCAAAAACUGACGCUGAGGUGCGAAAGCGUGGGUAGCGAACAGGAUUAGAAACCCUUGUAGUCC
RNAcentral lists this ribosomal RNA (274 nucleotides) under uncultured bacterium. Its description in RNAcentral is "partial 16S ribosomal RNA". It matches the Rfam family "Bacterial small subunit ribosomal RNA", at positions 523 to 796 of the family's 1533-position model. The record is from RNAcentral.